UACGGGGGGGGCAAGCGUUGUUCGGAAUUACUGGGCGUAAAGGGCGUGUAGGCGGUUGUUUAAGUUUGGUGUGAAAUCUCCCGGCUCAACUGGGAGGGUGCGCCGAAUACUGAAUGACUUGGAGUGCGGGAGAGGAGAGUGGAAUUCCUGGUGUAGCGGUGAAAUGCGUAGAUAUCAGGAGGAACACCGGUGGUGUAGACGGCUCUCUGGACCGUAACUGACGCUGAGACACGAAAGCGUGGGUAGCAAACAGG
Molecule: ribosomal RNA, 254 nt
Filed under: uncultured bacterium
Lineage: Bacteria
Description: partial 16S ribosomal RNA
Rfam family: Bacterial small subunit ribosomal RNA
Source: RNAcentral